CAGGGACCAAAGGUCUCCAGGGCCCAUUUAUUUCUGAGUUUCCCGGGCUGACAUUCAUUCUGCGGGCUCCCACGAGAGCGAAGCUCCGAUGCCGAGGCUGGUGACAGUGGCGCUGUGCCUGCUGGCCCUCAUCCUCCAGCUCCCGAGCCCCCAUGCUACAGUUGAGCAGGACCUCAGAGAGAACAGGGCUGUGUGGGAUGGAGGUGGGUGCAUCUCCCCAGAGGACCUUGGGGACCCUCGGUGCCAGCAGCUGGCUGGGAGCUAUCAGGCAGGUCAUACUAAUAAUAUCACUGUAUGGGGACACACGACGAAGUCCACUGAGCCACGAGCUGGGUACAGUGACAAUAAUUCCUCACCCACAAGCACGCCAUUACAAGCUGACAACUCCGCUGCGGGCACCACACAUGGGGCCAGUCCUACUGAGUCCAGCCUACCACCUAACACGCUAGAUGAAACGACCACACUUUUCAACCCUUCUACUGAAUACAGUCCUUCACAAACAACUGAAGAUGGCAUCAGUCCCUCUCCACAGACGGACACAGUGCAAAGCAAUCCCUCAACAGCUCUUCCUCACAGUACCCCACCCAUGACGACUCCCAACGGGGCACGCACAUUUCCUGUUGAUGCCAACCCAUCCUUGACCACUGUAGUUGAAGCCAGCUCUUCUCCGACCACAGUGGAAGGCACCACCCUGUCUUGGCCAACUCCCAGUGAAGGCAGCAGUCCAUUAACUACUGUCCUCGUCAGCACGUUCCCUGGGACCAGUCCUACUGAGGCCAGCACUCCAGCAACAACUCCAGCUGCCACCACCACAUAUUUGCCCUCUUCUACAGAGGCCAUCUCAUCUUCUACCACUGUUGAAGGCACCACCGUUCCUUUGUCAACUCCGAGUCAAGGCGGCACGCCAAGUGCUAGUACUCACUUUAGCACUGCACCUGUCACGAGUCCCACUGAGGCCAGCAAACCUUCUGUUGAUGCAACCAUAUCUGUGACCCCUGUAGUUGAGUCCAGUUCUCCUACCACAAGGGAUGGCACCACCCUGCCUUGGUCAACUCCCAGUGAAGGCAGCAGUCCAUUAACAACUGUCCUUGUCAGCACCUUGGCUGGGACCAGUACACCUGAGGCCAGCACACCUCCUGUUGAUGCUACCACAUCUUUGACCACUGUCAUUCAGGGCCGUUCUUCCCCUACAACAGUGGAAGGCACCACCCUGUCUUUGUCAACUCCCAGUGAAGGCAGCAGUCCAUUAACAACUGUCCUCAUCAGCACAUUCCCUGGGACCAGUCCUAGUGAGGCCAGCACUCCAGCAACAACUCCAGUUGCUACCACCACAUAUUUGCCCACGACUACACAGACCAUCUCAUUUUCUACCACUGUUCAAGGCAACACCAUAACUUUGUCAACUCUGAGUGAAGGCGGGAUGCCAAGUGCAAGUACCCUCUUUAGCACCGCACCUGGCACCAGUGCCACCAAGGCCAGCACACCUCCUGUUGAUGCCACCACAUCUGUGACCCCUGUAGUUGAGUCUAGUUCUUCAGCGACCACAGUUGAUGGCACCACCCUGCCUUCGUCAACUCCCAGUGAAGGCAGCAGUCCAUUAACAACUGUCCUUGUCAGCACCUUGCCUGGGACCAGUGCCCCUGAGACUAGCACACCUCCUGUUGAUGCCACCACAUCUUUGACCACUGUAUUUGAAGCCAGUUCUUCUCCUACCACAGUGAAAGGCACCACCCUGCCUUGGUCAACUCCCGGUGAAGGCAGCAGUCCAUUAGCUACUGUCCUUGCCAGCACCAAACCUGGGACCAGUCCCCAUGAGGCCAGCACAACUUCUAUUGAUGCCACCACAUCUUUGACCACUGUAGUUGAGUCCAGUUCUUCUCCUACCACAGUGGAAGGAACCACCCUGCCUUUGUCAACUCCCAGUGAAGGCAGCAGUCCAUUAACAACUGUGCUUGUCAGCACGUUCCCUGGGACCAGUCCUACAGAGGCCAGCACACCAGCAGCAACUUCAGGAUCUACCACCACAUAUUUGCCCACGGCUACAGAGGCCAUCUCAUCUUCUACCACGGUUGAAGGCAACACCAUACCUUUGUCAACUCAGAGUCAAAGUGGCACUCCAAGUGCAAGUACCUUCUUUAGCCCUUCACCUGCCACCAGUGCCACUGACGCCAGCACACCUCCUAUUGAUGCCACCACAUCUGUGACCCCUGUAGUUGAGUCCAGUUCUUCAGUGACCACAGUUGAUGGCACCACCCUGCCUUCGUCAACGCCUAGUGAAGGCAGCAGUCCAUUAACAACUGUACUUGUCAGCACCUUGCCUGGGACCAGUGCCCCUGAGACUAGCACACCUCCUGUUGAUGCCACCACAUCUUUGACCACUGUAUUUGAAGCCAGUUCUUCUCC
This is a long non-coding RNA of Microcebus murinus (gray mouse lemur), 2403 nucleotides long. The record is from Ensembl. Lineage: Eukaryota; Metazoa; Chordata; Mammalia; Primates; Cheirogaleidae.